AAACUUCAGCAAUGGAUUGU
This 20-nucleotide ribosomal RNA is filed under the name Eimeria cylindrica. RNAcentral's name for it is "partial 5.8S rRNA". Lineage: Eukaryota; Apicomplexa; Conoidasida; Eucoccidiorida; Eimeriidae. The record is from RNAcentral.